GAGCCAUGGGACUGGAAGGCAGCAGGCAGAUGUCAGGGUCAGGCAUUGCUGGCUCAGAAGCAGGAAAUCUCAUGUAGAAGCCCAGAACUUUCAAGAGAUAAGAAGUAGGGAGAUUCUGGUUUAAAGAGAGAUGACGGAAGCCCCGAAUGUCCUGUCUUCUGCUCCCCCAGAUACCUUCAUGGACUACAGAGCUGUACAUACGGGUCAUGGAAUACAUGAACUUCAGGCUUAAUCUCUGUGUGAGAAAAACAGCAUGAAGAUAAUCAACUCUAUGUCAGAAGAAAUUGGCAACACUACUAACCACGAGUAAUGCACACCGAAGAACUCACCUUCUUAUGGAGUCACCUUCAUCCCUUUGCUCAGCAAACAUGUCUCUCCUAUAAGCCAAUUCAAUGAGGAAUUUUCCCCUUUAUUGUUGACACAGUAUCUCUUUAAGACGGUGAAGGACAUGAUUGCUUCCUCUUCUUCUGUGAUUAAGUUUCAUGAGGACUUCCCAGCCCUUCAGAACUUGGCAGCUAUGCACAUGAGCACAGCCUCCGAAAGCAUGCUGUCAGAUGCUGGCUGUGAAACUCUGGCCCUUGGUGAUUGAUAAGGCUGGCACCAAAAGGAGCGUCCACCACUGGGUGGAUUCCAUUAUUGUUCCUAUGCUACAGGUGAAGAAGGUGAAGCUCAGAGAGGUCAAGUAGUGGUCGAUCUUUGUAAGGUGCCUCAGCUUUUUCAUGGAGAGAGGUUAGGAAGGAAGGCAUUGCAGUUACUUGUUAAUAUUCCUCAGAAUGUUAACUUACUAUGAAGAUCUACUCCCUAUAGCUGAAGUUCCACUGAGAUGUGCUUAUAUUACCUGAGUGAAUGCUUAUAUUAUCUGGAAUAAGAACUGUUUCAUACCUAUAAGGUUCUUUAAUCUACUCUUGGCAGGUCUAAAUUAAACAAAGUCUAUUAGUUUUCUUCAG
RNAcentral lists this non-coding RNA (947 nucleotides) under Pongo abelii (Sumatran orangutan). Lineage: Eukaryota; Metazoa; Chordata; Mammalia; Primates; Hominidae. The record is from RNAcentral.